CAGCAGCCGCGGUAAUACGUAGGGUGCAAGCGUUUAUCAGAAUUACUGGGCGUAAAGCGUGCGCAGGCGGUUUGUUAAGACAGAUGUGAAAUCCCCGGGCUUAACCUGGGAACUGCAUUUGUGACUGGCAAGCUAGAGUAUGGCAGAGGGGGGUGGAAUUCCGCGUGUAGCAGUGAAAUGCGUAGAUAUGCGGAGGGACACCGAUGGCGAAGGCAGCCCCCUGGGCCAAUACUGACGCUCAUGCACGAAAGCGUGGGGAGCAAACAGGAUUAGAUACCCCUGUAGUCCCUGUCUCUUAUAC
RNAcentral lists this ribosomal RNA (301 nucleotides) under uncultured bacterium. RNAcentral's name for it is "partial 16S ribosomal RNA". It matches the Rfam family "Bacterial small subunit ribosomal RNA", at positions 509 to 807 of the family's 1533-position model. The record is from RNAcentral.